AGUGAACGCUGGCGGUAGGCCUAACACAUGCAAGUCGAACGGCAGCACAGUAAGAGCUUGCUCUUACGGGUGGCGAGUGGCGGACGGGUGAGGAAUACAUCGGAAUCUACUUUUUCGGGGGGGAUAACGUAGGGAAACUUACGCUAAUACCGCAUACGACCUACGGGGGAAAGCAGGGGAUCUUCGGACCUUGCGCGAUUGAAUGAGCCGAUGUCGGAUUAGCUAGUUGGCGGGGUAAAGGCCCACCAAGGCGACGAUCCGUAGCUGGUCUGAGAGGAUGAUCAGCCACACUGGAACUGAGACACGGUCCAGACUCCUACGGGAGGCAGCAGUGUGGAAUAUUGGACAAUGGGCGCAAGCCUGAUCCAGCCAUCCCGCGUGGGUGACGAAGGCCUUCGGGUUGUAAAGCCCUUUUGUUGGGAAAGAAAAGCAGCAGGUUAAUACCCCGCUGUUCUGACGGUACCCAAAGAAUAAGCACCGGCUAACUUCGUG
RNAcentral lists this ribosomal RNA (492 nucleotides) under uncultured bacterium. RNAcentral describes it as "partial 16S ribosomal RNA". It matches the Rfam family "Bacterial small subunit ribosomal RNA", at positions 29 to 507 of the family's 1533-position model. The record is from RNAcentral.